GAUGAACGCUGGCGGCGUGCUUAACACAUGCAAGUCGAGCGAACAGACCAUGCUUUUGUGGCGUGCUCGAUUGGCGCACGGGUGAGUGACACGUGAGUAACAUGCACUUAUCUUUCGGGUAAAUUCAGGGAACACGGGCUCUUACCGGAUAUAAGCUCCUGAUCCAUAGUGGUGAAUGGAAAGAUACGGCGGUUGGGGCUGGACUCGCGGCUUAUCAGCUUGUUGGUGGGGUAGUGGCGUACCAAGGCUUUGACGGAUAGCCGGCCUGAGAGCUUGGACGGCGACAUUGGGACUACGGUACGGCGCAGACGCGUACGGGAGGCAGCAGGCGGGAACAUUGCACAACGGGCGGAAGCCUGAGGUAGCAACGUCGCGUGCGGGAUGACCUCUUUCGGGGUGUAAACCGCUUUCGCCGGAGACGAGGACGGAUUGACGGUAACUGGUAAAGAAGCACCGGCUAACUACGUG
This 468-nucleotide ribosomal RNA is filed under the name uncultured bacterium. RNAcentral describes it as "partial 16S ribosomal RNA". It matches the Rfam family "Bacterial small subunit ribosomal RNA", at positions 28 to 507 of the family's 1533-position model. The record is from RNAcentral.